UAGUGGCGGACGGGUGAGUAACGCGUGGGUAACCUACCCAUAAACCCGGGACAACCCUUGGAAACGAGGGCUAAUACCGGAUAAUCUUUUAGCUUGGCAUCAAGCAUUAAGAAAAGGUGGCCUCUGAAAAUGCUACCGAUUAUGGAUGGACCCGCGUCUGAUUAGCUAGUUGGUGGGGUAAAGGCCUACCAAGGCGACGAUCAGUAGCCGGCCUGAGAGGGUGAACGGCCACACUGGGACUGAGACACGGCCCAGACUCCUACGGGAGGCAGCAGUGGGGAAUCUUCCGCAAUGGACGAAAGUCUGACGGAGCAACGCCGCGUGUAUGAUGAAGGUCUUCGGAUUGUAAAGUACUGUCUUUGGGGAAGAAUGACUGAUUUGAAAAUAUUGAGUCAGUAUGACGGUACCCAAGGAGGAAGCCCCGGCUAACUACGUGCCAGCAGCCGCGGUAAUACGUAGGGGGCAAGCGUUGUCCGGAAUUAUUGGGCGUAAAGGGCGCGUAGGCGGAUAGUUAAGUCCGGUGUGAAAGAUCAGGGCUCAACCCUGAGAGUGCAUCGGAAACUGGUUAUCUUGAGGACAGGAGAGGAAAGUGGAAUUCCACGUGUAGCGGUGAAAUGCGUAGAUAUGUGGAGGAACACCAGUGGCGAAGGCGACUUUCUGGACUGUAACUGACGCUGAGGCGCGAAAGCGUGGGGAGCAAACAGGAUUAGAUACCCUGGUAGUCCACGCUGUAAACGAUGAGUGCUAGGUGUAGAGGGUAUCGACCCCUUCUGUGCCGCAGUUAACACAAU
This 791-nucleotide ribosomal RNA is filed under the name uncultured bacterium. RNAcentral describes it as "bacterial SSU rRNA". It matches the Rfam family "Bacterial small subunit ribosomal RNA", at positions 93 to 861 of the family's 1533-position model. The record is from RNAcentral.